Physeter macrocephalus (sperm whale) is the source of this 109-nucleotide small nuclear RNA. The record is from Ensembl. Lineage: Eukaryota; Metazoa; Chordata; Mammalia; Artiodactyla; Physeteridae.
GUGCUCACUUCAGCAGCACAUAGAAAAAAAAAUUGAAAAAAUACAGAGAAGAUUAUCAUGACCUCUGAGCAAGGGUGACACAGAAAUUCGUGAAGCAUUCCAUAUUUUU